UGACUUGUAACACAGCAAUAAAGUGUGUAGGGAAUUGGUUGCAGUGCAGUAUAUGUGGCAGUAAAUUCCACGUAGCUUUCUAAAUUUGGUGCCAUGCUUCUAUACCUUUUCACUAAAUGUGGAAUUGAUAUAGACGAUUUAUUUUAUGCUACAUAUUUUUAAGUACCUGGUCCAUAAUAUUUCUUGCUGAUGAUCCUGAAUUAUUUUUUUUUCCUUAUGCUGCUUUUUUGUCUAUGAUUUUAGGUAUUAUUCCCACAACAAUGAUUAUCUUGAAAUCUGCCGUUGCUAUGAGGCAAUAUAUGAGAUUCCAUUUGUCAAAGAAAACCCUGCCGAGUUUAUUCCUAUCCUGAGGAAAAUAUCUUGGUGCUUGGUUCUUGCUCCUCAUGAUCCGCUUCAAUCAAGUCUUCUGAAUUCAACCUUAGAGGAUAAGAAUCUAUUUGAGAUUCCAAACUUCAAGCUUCUCUUAAAGCAACUGGUCACCAUGGAAGUCAUCCAAUGGACGGCUCUUUGGGAGACAUACAAGGCCGAGUUUGAGAACGAGAUUGUCUCUAUAAAGUUUUUGAGUGAAAAAGCUGGGGAAGAUCUAAAACAAAGAAUUAUUGAACAUAAUAUUCUUGUUGUAUCAAAAUACUAUGCAAGAAUUACUUUGAAGAGACUUGCCCAACUUUUGUGUCUCAGCCAAGAGGUGUGUAAUGCAGUAAAAAUAUAUGUUGUAAACUUGCAACUGCCUAUUUCCCUCCUAUCUUAAUUAAUUUGUUUUUCAAAGGGAUUUUCCUAAUUAUUGCAUCUGCGUAAAGAAGUUUUCAAGUUGAAAUUAUUGAAAAACUACUUUAGACCA
Long non-coding RNA from Trifolium pratense (red clover), 838 nucleotides. RefSeq lists it as uncharacterized. Lineage: Eukaryota; Viridiplantae; Streptophyta; Magnoliopsida; Fabales; Fabaceae. The transcript has 4 exons. The record is from RefSeq and is a predicted model, not a curated record.